This 208-nucleotide ribosomal RNA is filed under the name uncultured bacterium. RNAcentral's name for it is "partial 16S ribosomal RNA". It matches the Rfam family "Bacterial small subunit ribosomal RNA", at positions 568 to 774 of the family's 1533-position model. The record is from RNAcentral.
UCCGUAGGUGGAUAAUUAAGUCAGAGGUGAAAGUCUGCAGCUCAACUGUAGAAUUGCCUUUGAUACUGGUUAUCUUGAGUUAUUAUGAAGUAGUUAGAAUAUGUAGUGUAGCGGUGAAAUGCAUAGAUAUUACAUAGAAUACCAAUUGCGAAGGGCAGAUUACUAAUAAUAUACUGACACUGAUGGACGAAAGCGUGGGGAGCGAACA